GUUGUCCAGAAUAGAAUUUUAGUUCAACCUUAAAUUUACCUAAAAGAAUUAUUAAUCCUAAUGUAAAUUUAAUAGUUAUUCUAAAGAGGUACAGCUCUUUAGAUUAAAGGAAACAGCCUUAUUUAGAGAGUAAAUUAUAACUUCCCCAUAGUUGGCUUAAAAGCAGCCAUCAAUUAAAAAAGCGUUCAAGCUUAACCUAACAAACAUAUAUAACCUAAUUCCACACUUAACAAUAAGCUCCUAAUCAUAUAACUGGACUACUCUAUAAACUUAUAGACGCAAUAAUGUUAGUAUUAGUAACAAGAAAUAAUUUCUCCCUGCAUAAGUUUAUAUCAGACCGAAUACCUCACUGAUAGUUAACAGACAAAUAAUUAAACUUAAAACCUUAAAUCUUUAUUAUCCAAACUGUUAACCCAACACUGGCAUGCAUACAAGGGAAAGAUUAAAAAAAGUAAAAGGAACUCGGCAAACACUAACCCCGCCUGUUUACCAAAAACAUCACCUCUAGCAUUUCCAGUAUUAGAGGCACUGCCUGCCCAGUGACACAUGUUAAACGGCCGCGGUAUCCUG
RNAcentral lists this ribosomal RNA (570 nucleotides) under Sciurus vulgaris (Eurasian red squirrel). RNAcentral's name for it is "partial 16S ribosomal RNA". The record is from RNAcentral. Lineage: Eukaryota; Metazoa; Chordata; Mammalia; Rodentia; Sciuridae.